This 283-nucleotide unclassified non-coding RNA is filed under the name Hevea brasiliensis (rubber tree). Lineage: Eukaryota; Viridiplantae; Streptophyta; Magnoliopsida; Malpighiales; Euphorbiaceae. The record is from RNAcentral.
CUGAUUUGCUCUGAUUAUGGGGAUUUUCACAAGGGAGGAAAAUGAAAGAAAAUUAGAUAAGAGGAAAGAAAAGGAAAGGAAUCUGUGGUUGAAGGGAAUGGAAUCAAUCAAAGUCUGAAAAUUUAUAAAUACAAAUGAAACCCAAAAGAAAAGCACCUCCAGAAAGCUCCAAUAUAAGGAAAAGGAGAAGAAAGGAGGGCGAUUCCUUUGGCCCUUUGCCUAAAGAUUCCACCAACCUUCUUGCUUUCUCUCUGUUUUUUAAUUUCUUUACCUUUCUUUCUAC